CCCCAGGUCAGGCGGGACUACCUACUGAGUUUAAGCAUAUAAAUAAGAGAAGGAGAAGAAACUUACGAGGAUUCCCCUAGUAACGGCGAGUGAAUCGGGAGAUGCCCAGCUUGAGAAUCGGGCAGCCGCAUCGUCCGAAUUGUAGUUUGGAGAGGCGUCCUUAGCGACGGACCGGGCCCAAGUCCCCUGGAAAGGGACGCCUGGGAGGGUGAGAGCCUCGUCCGGCCCAGACCCUGUCACCCACGAGGCACCGUCAACGAGUCGGGUUGUUUGGGAAUGCAGCCCAAAUCGGGCGGUAAACUCCGUCCAAGGCAAAAUAGAGGCGAGAGACCGAUAGCGAACAAGUACCACGAGGGAAAGAUGAAAAGGAUUUUGAAAAGAGAGUCAAAGAGUGCUUGAAAUUGCCGCGAGGGAAGCAGAUGGGGGCCGGCGAUGCGCCCUGGCCAUAUGCGGAACAACUUUGGCUGGUCCACCAAUCGGCUCGAGGCGUGGAUUGUUGUCGGCCGCCCGGCGGCCAAAGCCCGAGGGCCUCGCGCCCCCGGUAGCCAUCGUCAGUGCAGCCGGUCACCCCGCAUCUCUGGCGCGCCCCUCGGGGCGCCACGCUACAAUGGCCUGCGGCUCCCCAUCCGACCCGUCUUGAAAGAUGGACCAAGGAGUCUGACAUGCGCGCAAGUCGACGGGUUCUGAAACUUGGGAUGCGCAAGGAAGCUGACGGGAGGGAGGCCCCUACGGGCUGCACCGCUGGCCGACCAUGAUCUUCCCUCCCUGCAAAUCGUUCGUCUGACUUGGGUAUAGGGGCGAAAGACUAAUCGAACCAUCUAGUAGCUGGCUCCCUCCGAAGUUUCCCUC
RNAcentral lists this ribosomal RNA (849 nucleotides) under Oryza latifolia. RNAcentral describes it as "eukaryotic LSU rRNA". It matches the Rfam family "Eukaryotic large subunit ribosomal RNA", at positions 1 to 974 of the family's 3401-position model. Lineage: Eukaryota; Viridiplantae; Streptophyta; Magnoliopsida; Poales; Poaceae. The record is from RNAcentral.